UACGGGGGGGGCAAGCGUUGUUCGGAAUUACUGGGCGUAAAGGGUUCGUAGGUGGCUUGUUAAGUCAGACGUGAAAUCCCUCAGCUUAACUGGGGAACUGCGUCUGAGACUGGUGAGCUUGAGUGCAGGAGAGGAACGCGGAAUUCCAGGUGUAGCGUUGAAAUGCGUAGAUAUCUGGAGGAACACCGGUGGCGAAGGCGGCGUUCUGGACUGCAACUGACACUGAUGAACGAAAGCCAGGGGAGCAAACGGG
Molecule: ribosomal RNA, 253 nt
Filed under: uncultured bacterium
Lineage: Bacteria
Description: partial 16S ribosomal RNA
Rfam family: Bacterial small subunit ribosomal RNA
Source: RNAcentral